GUUGAGUUUGAUGAUGGCUCUGAGUGAACGCUGUCCAAAUGCUUGACACAUGCUAAUCGUACGACUUCGCUCAUAAAAAAAAAGAGCGAAGCAGUGGUGUACAGGUGAGUAUAAGAUAACGUGACUGCCUUGGAGUAAGGAGAAAGAUCCCUUAUAAUAAUAAAGAAACUAAGGUUUCGCUCUUAGAAGCAUGUAUCUCGUGUAGUUGUAGUAGUUAAAGUAGUGGUUUAACUAGCCUUAUACACGUAGUCGAAACUGAAAGGUUGAUCGAUCACAGUGGGACUGGACAAAUCCCACGAUUAUUAUCACAGCAGUGAGGAAUAUUGGUCAAUAGCCUAACGGCUGAACCAGCAAUUUGGAAGAAUGUAUAGCAAUAGCUGAUUGCACCAACAAACAGUUGAUGCAAAAUUGAUUAUAUCAAAUAAAAUUCUAGGUAGAUUUUUGAUAAUGACAUUGCUUACCUAAGUCUUGACCAAAUUACGUGCCAGCAGUCGCGGUAAUACGUAAAAGACUAGUGUUAUUCAUCUUUAAUUGGUUUAAAGGGUACCUAGACAGCGAAUAAAGCCAUAGUAGGGACUAAUUCGCUAGAGUUACUUAUGAGGGGGUAUUAAAGUACUGCAGGUGUAGAGAUGAAAUUUUGUUAUACCUCUUUUCGUAUGAGAAACUAUGGCACAGGUAUAGGUGAAAGCAUCCCCUUAUGUGAUAACUGACGUUGAGGGACGAAGGCUUUGUGUCGCGAACAGGAUUAGAUACCCCAGUAGUCAAAGCAGAAAAUGAUGAAUGUCAUAGAUUAGAUAUACAAUUUAUUCUAUAAAUGAAAGUGUAAGCAUUCCACCUCAAGAGUAAUUUGGCAACAUUGGAACUGAAAUCAUUAGACCGUUUCUGAAACCAGUAGUGAAGUAUGUUUAUUUACAAGCGUUGCACGGCUGUCUUCAGUUAAUGUCGUGAGAUUUUGGUUAGUUCCAUUAAAUUAACGUAAACCCUUACUUUAUUUUUAUAUAAAGUAGUUCCCCGCUAUAUUGGAUAUGAUAACAGGGACUAAGACAAGUCAUCAUGGCCUGAAUAUUGUGGGCUAUAGACGUGCCACAUAAACCUUACAAAAGGAUGUGAAAUUGUGAAAUUGAGCUAAUCCUCCAAAAAUGGAUAAACAUUUAAUGGAUUGCAGUCUGUAACUCGACUGCGUGAAAAAGGAAUUACUAGUAAUCGUGUAUAAGUACGGCACGGUGAAUAUAAUCUCAGAUAGGUACUAACUACUCGUCAGGCGCUGAAAAAAGUAUGUGCAAUAAGUUUGGCUAGUGCUUAUUUUUAUUUCGGGCGAUCUUGUCCAAAAACUUAGGCAUGUUGUCUUCGUAUGCGUGACUUUGAUUGGUGUUAAGUCGAAAUACGGUUCGUGUAGUGGAAAUUGCACGGGAUUUAUGUAUAUUAA
RNAcentral lists this non-coding RNA (1426 nucleotides) under Cladonia leporina. Its description in RNAcentral is "small subunit ribosomal RNA". It matches the Rfam family "Bacterial small subunit ribosomal RNA". Lineage: Eukaryota; Fungi; Ascomycota; Lecanoromycetes; Lecanorales; Cladoniaceae. The record is from RNAcentral.